UACGGAGGGGGCUAGCGUUGUUCGGAAUUACUGGGCGUAAAGCGCACGUAGGCGGCUUUACAAGUCAGGGGUGAAAGCCCGCGGCUCAACCGCGGAAUUGCCCUUGAGACUGUAUCGCUUGAACACGGGAGAGGUGAGUGGAAUUCCGAGUGUAGAGGUGAAAUUCGUAGAUAUUCGGAAGAACACCAGUGGCGAAGGCGGCUCACUGGACCGUAGUUGACGCUGAGGCACGAAAGCGUGGGUAGCAAACAGG
Molecule: ribosomal RNA, 253 nt
Filed under: uncultured bacterium
Lineage: Bacteria
Description: partial 16S ribosomal RNA
Rfam family: Bacterial small subunit ribosomal RNA
Source: RNAcentral